AAGCUUAGCGGUGACUAAAAACCGCGCGGUUGCGUG
This 36-nucleotide non-coding RNA is filed under the name unclassified sequences. The record is from RNAcentral.